CUCUUCCUUCCCCCCUGAUUCCUCCGUCCAACAGCGUCUUCCUUAGGACGGCUUACCGGCGGAGGCCAUAGCCCGAUGCCCCACGUUGGAUGGACGCCAGAUGAACAAGAUUAAUUUAGAAAUAAACAAAAAUGUUUAAAAGUCUAUCUGUUCCUGUCCAAAUCUGAGAUGAAUAAAUUGCGUAUACGCAGAAGUAAGUUCACACUGACACAUGCAGUUCAGGUUAAAAACACUUCAGGAAAUUUAUUAGCAUCUAGUUCAAAAGUGGGCACGCAGGCCUUUUUAUAUGCAAAAUGAC
Pelobates cultripes (western spadefoot toad) is the source of this 298-nucleotide non-coding RNA. The record is from the annotation of a GenBank genome assembly. NCBI's taxonomy places the organism in Eukaryota, Metazoa, Chordata, Amphibia, Anura, Pelobatidae.